This 428-nucleotide ribosomal RNA is filed under the name uncultured bacterium. RNAcentral's name for it is "bacterial SSU rRNA". It matches the Rfam family "Bacterial small subunit ribosomal RNA", at positions 355 to 775 of the family's 1533-position model. The record is from RNAcentral.
UGGGGAAUUUUGGACAAUGGGCGCAAGCCUGAUCCAGCCAUUCCGCGUGCAGGAUGAAGGCCCUCGGGUUGUAAACUGCUUUUGUACGGAACGAAAGGGUGCUGGUUAAUACCCGGCGCUGAUGACGGUACCGUAAGAAUAAGCACCGGCUAACUACGUGCCAGCAGCCGCGGUAAUACGUAGGGUGCGAGCGUUAAUCGGAAUUACUGGGCGUAAAGCGUGCGCAGGCGGUUGUGUAAGACAGAUGUGAAAUCCCCGGGCUUAACCUGGGAACUGCAUUUGUGACUGCACGGCUGGAGUGCGGCAGAGGGGGAUGGAAUUCCGCGUGUAGCAGUGAAAUGCGUAGAUAUGCGGAGGAACACCGAUGGCGAAGGCAAUCCCCUGGGCCUGCACUGACGCUCAUGCACGAAAGCGUGGGGAGCAAACAG